RNAcentral lists this ribosomal RNA (402 nucleotides) under Kocuria rosea. RNAcentral describes it as "bacterial SSU rRNA". It matches the Rfam family "Bacterial small subunit ribosomal RNA", at positions 369 to 788 of the family's 1533-position model. The record is from RNAcentral. Lineage: Bacteria; Bacillati; Actinomycetota; Actinomycetes; Micrococcales; Micrococcaceae.
CUUUGGGUCCGAAACCUUAAGCCCCGCCCCCCCGUGAGGAAGAGGGCUUCGGGUGGUAAACAUCUUCGGGAAUAAAACGAGAGUGACGGUCCCUGCAGAAAAAGCGCCGCUUAAUUACGUGCCACCAGCCGCGGUAAUACGUAGGGCGCAAGCGUUGUCCGGAAUUUUUGGGCGUAAAGAGCUCGUAGGCGGUUUGUCGCGCUGCUUGUGAAAGCCCGGGGUCCACCCCCGGGUCUGCGGUGGGUACGGGCAGACUAAAUGGCAUUAGGGAAGACUGAAUUUCCUGGUGUAGCGGUGAAUUGCCAAAUAUUCAGGAGGAAACCCGAUGGCAAGGGCGGGUCUUGGGGUUGUUACUGACGUUAAGGAGCAAAAGCUGGGGGAGCGAACAGGAUUAAAUACCCC